UACGGAGGGUGCAAGCGUUAUCCGGAUUCACUGGGUUUAAAGGGUGCGUAGGCGGGUAAGGAAGUCCGUGGUGAAAUCUCUGAGCUUAACUCAGAAACUGCCGUGGAUACUAUUUGCCUUGAAUAUUGUGGAGGUGAGCGGAAUAUGUCAUGUAGCGGUGAAAUGCUUAGAUAUGACAUAGAACACCAAUUGCGAAGGCAGCUCACUACACAAAUAUUGACACUGAUGCACGAAAGCGUGGGGAUCAAACAGG
RNAcentral lists this ribosomal RNA (253 nucleotides) under uncultured bacterium. RNAcentral's name for it is "partial 16S ribosomal RNA". It matches the Rfam family "Bacterial small subunit ribosomal RNA", at positions 524 to 776 of the family's 1533-position model. The record is from RNAcentral.